This 73-nucleotide transfer RNA is filed under the name Candidatus Margulisiibacteriota bacterium. RNAcentral's name for it is "tRNA-Arg". It matches the Rfam family "tRNA". From Rfam's summary of the family: Transfer RNA (tRNA) molecules are approximately 80 nucleotides in length. Their secondary structure includes four short double-helical elements and three loops (D, anti-codon, and T loops). Lineage: Bacteria; Bacillati; Candidatus Margulisiibacteriota. The record is from RNAcentral.
GCGCCUGUAGCUGGAUAGAGCAACGGAUUUCUAAUCCGUAGGUCGUAAGUUCAAGUCUUACCAGCGCGUACCA